UCACCGGAAGGCAAAUGGCGAGCCAUCUCCCUUUCAAGGAGACGUUAGCGAGUUCGAUUCUCGUCCGGUGAACCA
This 75-nucleotide transfer RNA is filed under the name Vibrio phage vB_ValS_X1. RNAcentral describes it as "tRNA-Glu". It matches the Rfam family "tRNA". From Rfam's summary of the family: Transfer RNA (tRNA) molecules are approximately 80 nucleotides in length. Their secondary structure includes four short double-helical elements and three loops (D, anti-codon, and T loops). Further hydrogen bonds mediate the characteristic L-shaped molecular structure. tRNAs have two regions of fundamental functional importance: the anti-codon, which is responsible for specific mRNA codon recognition, and the 3' end, to which the tRNAs corresponding amino acid is attached (by aminoacyl-tRNA synthetases). tRNAs cope with the degeneracy of the genetic code in two manners: having more than one tRNA (with a specific anti-codon) for a particular amino acid; and 'wobble' base-pairing, i.e. permitting non-standard base-pairing at the 3rd anti-codon position. Lineage: Duplodnaviria; Heunggongvirae; Uroviricota; Caudoviricetes; Demerecviridae. The record is from RNAcentral.